CCUACGGGAGGCAGCAGUGGGGAAUAUUGCACAAUGGGGGAAACCCUGAUGCAGCGACGCCGCGUGAGUGAAGAAGUAUUUCGGUAUGUAAAGCUCUAUCAGCAGGGAAGAAAAUGACGGUACCUGAUUAAGAAGCCCCGGCUAACUACGUGCCAGCAGCCGCGGUAAUACGUAGGGGGCAAGCGUUAUCCGGAUUUACUGGGUGUAAAGGGAGCGUAGACGGCAGCACAAGUCUGGAGUGAAAUGCCGGGGCUUAACCCCGGAACUGCUUUGGAAACUGUGCAGCUAGAGUGCAGGAGAGGUAAGUGGAAUUCCUAGUGUAGCGGUGAAAUGCGUAGAUAUUAGGAGGAACACCAGUGGCGAAGGCGGCUUACUGGACUGUAACUGACGUUGAGGCUCGAAAGCGUGGGGAGCAAACAGGAUUAGAUACCCCAGUAGUC
This 440-nucleotide ribosomal RNA is filed under the name uncultured bacterium. RNAcentral describes it as "bacterial SSU rRNA". It matches the Rfam family "Bacterial small subunit ribosomal RNA", at positions 338 to 795 of the family's 1533-position model. The record is from RNAcentral.